Molecule: ribosomal RNA, 510 nt
Filed under: uncultured bacterium
Lineage: Bacteria
Description: bacterial SSU rRNA
Rfam family: Bacterial small subunit ribosomal RNA
Source: RNAcentral
GACGAACGCUGGCGGCGUGCCUAAUACAUGCAAGUCGAGCGGACCAAAGGGAGCUUGCUCCUGGAGGUUAGCGGCGAACGGGUGAGUAACACGUGGGCAACUUGCCUGUAAGACUGGGAUAACAUCGAGAAAUCGGUGCUAAUACCGGAUAAUAAAAAGAACUGCAUGGUUCUUUUUUGAAAGAUGGUUUCGGCUAUCACUUACAGAUGGGCCCGCGGCGCAUUAGCUAGUUGGUGAGGUAACGGCUCACCAAGGCAACGAUGCGUAGCCGACCUGAGAGGGUGAUCGGCCACACUGGGACUGAGACACGGCCCAGACUCCUACGGGAGGCAGCAGUAGGGAAUCUUCCGCAAUGGACGAAAGUCUGACGGAGCAACGCCGCGUGAGUGAUGAAGGUUCUCGGAUCGUAAAACUCUGUUGUUAGGGAAGAACAAGUGCCGUUCGAAAGGGCGGCACCUUGACGGUACCUAACGAGAAAGCCACGGCUAACUACGUGCCAGCAGCCGACGG